This 831-nucleotide ribosomal RNA is filed under the name uncultured bacterium. RNAcentral describes it as "bacterial SSU rRNA". It matches the Rfam family "Bacterial small subunit ribosomal RNA", at positions 90 to 924 of the family's 1533-position model. The record is from RNAcentral.
GACGACCGGCGCACGGGUGCGUAACGCGUAUACAAUCUACCUUUUGCUGAGGGAUAGCCUUUGGAAACGAAGAUUAAUACCUCAUGGUAUGUAGGGAUGGCAUCAUCCUUAUAUUAAAGGUUACGGCAAAAGAUGAGUAUGCGUUCUAUUAGUUAGUUGGUGUGGUAACGGCACACCAAGACUACGAUAGAUAGGGGCCCUGAGAGGGGGAUCCCCCACACUGGUACUGAGACACGGACCAGACUCCUACGGGAGGCAGCAGUGAGGAAUAUUGGACAAUGGAGGCAACUCUGAUCCAGCCAUGCCGCGUGCAGGAAGACUGCCCUAUGGGUUGUAAACUGCUUUUAUACAGGAAGAAACCGCUCUACGUGUAGAGCCUUGACGGUACUGUAAGAAUAAGGAUCGGCUAACUCCGUGCCAGCAGCCGCGGUAAUACGGAGGAUCCAAGCGUUAUCCGGAAUCAUUGGGUUUAAAGGGUCCGUAGGUGGAUAAUUAAGUCAGAGGUGAAAUCCUGCAGCUCAACUGUAGAAUUGCCUUUGAUACUGGUUAUCUUGAAUUAUUGUGAAGUAGUUAGAAUAUGUAGUGUAGCGGUGAAAUGCAUAGAUAUUACAUAGAAUACCAAUUGCGAAGGCAGAUUACUAACAAUCAAUUGACACUGAUGGACGAAAGCGUGGGGAGCGAACAGGAUUAGAUACCCUGGUAGUCCACGCCGUAAACGAUGGUCACUAGCUGUUCGAACUUCGGUUUGAGUGGCUAAGAGAAAUUGAUAAGUGACCCACCUGGGGAGUACGUUCGCAAGAAUGAAACUCAAAGGAAUUGACGGGGGGGCCC